Molecule: ribosomal RNA, 254 nt
Filed under: uncultured bacterium
Lineage: Bacteria
Description: partial 16S ribosomal RNA
Rfam family: Bacterial small subunit ribosomal RNA
Source: RNAcentral
UACAGAGGGUGCGAGCGUUGUCCGGAAUCACUGGGCGUAAAGGGCGCGUAGGUGGUGGCUUAAGCGUGCGGUGAAAGCUCGGGGCUCAACUCCGAGUCGGCCGUGCGAACUGGGCUCACUGGAGCAUAGUAGAGGCAGGUGGAAUUCCGGGUGCAGCGGUGGAAUGCGUAGAGAUCCGGAAGAACACCGGUGGCGAAGGCGGCCUGCUGGGCUAUGGCUGACACUGAGGCGCGACAGCGUGGGGAGCAAACAGG